Molecule: long non-coding RNA, 2466 nt
Filed under: Apteryx haastii (Great spotted kiwi)
Lineage: Eukaryota; Metazoa; Chordata; Aves; Apterygiformes; Apterygidae
Description: lncRNA (ENSAHAG00000019614.1)
Source: RNAcentral
GCGCAGUGAAGGUGUGCAGUGCGUGCAGUGCGGGUGUGCCAUGCGGGUGUGCAGUGCGGGUGUGCAGGGCAGGGCUGUGGGUGCUCGUGGCCCGGCUCCGGCUGGGUGCACGCGCGUCCCCUGACCCCAAACGGCCCGUGCCCGCUCCCGGACCUGCCUGCAAUUAGUGCGUCAGGAAACGACUCCGCGUUUCCCUGGCCCCGAGCGCUGCGUUUGGCCUCGGCAAGGAGCAGCGCGCGGGGACAACGGCGGUGCGGGCGAGCGAGGAACGCCCGGUGGGGAGGUAGCGUGUGCCCACGCGCGUGUGCACGCCCACCGGUGGGGUUUGCACGUGGGCCUGGGGGGGUGUAGACAUGCGGGGUGUGCACACGCGUGCAUACGUGGGGCGCGUGCGUGUGCGUGCCCGGUGUGCGUGUGUGCAUGGGUGCGUGCACACGUGCGUGUGAUGUGCGUGUUCGUCUAGGGGGGUGUGCAUCCGUGCGUGGUGUGCCCGUGCGCGCAUGCUGCACGGGUGUGCGUGUGGGUGCGUGGGUGUGUGCUUGGGUGUGUUCAUGGGUGUGUGCAUGGGUGUGUGUGCACRUGUGUGUGUGUGCACAAGUGUGUGCAUAGGUAUGUGCACGGGUGUGUACACGGGUGUGUGCACAGGUGUGUACAUGGGUGUGUGCACAGGUGCAUGCAUGGGUGUGCACGGGUGCGUGCACAGGUGUGUGCAUGGGUGUUUACACGGGUGUGGGUGUGUGCACAGGUGUUUGCACAGGUGUGUGUGUGCAUGGGUGUUUGCACGGGUGUGUGCACAGGUGUGUGUGUGUGUACAGGUGUUUGCAUGGGUGUGGGUGUGUGCAUGGAUGUGUGCACAGGUGUGUGCGUGCACAGGUGUGUGCAUGGGUGUGUGCACAGGUGUGUGCAUGGGUGUGUGUGUGCACAGGUGCAUGCAUGGAUGUGCAUGGGUGCAUGCACGGGUGUGUGCACGGGUGUUUGCAUGUGUGUGUGUGCACGGGUGUGUGCAUGGGUGUUUGCACGGGUGUGUACACGGGUGUGUGUGUGUGUGCACGGGUGUUUGCAAGGGUGUGUGUGUGCACGGGGGUGUGUGUGUGCACGGGGGUGCACGCGCCCCCAGCACCACCCAGCCUCGGGAAGGGGCUCAGCCCCCCCGAUCCCCAACCCCAGCGCCCGCGGCGGCAGCACUCUCGCCCGCGGCCCCGCUUGGGCUCCCCGAGGGCAGCUCCAAAGCCCCGGACGCCGGGGCCCGGCCGAGCAGGGGACAAAGCCGCAACGAUCCGAGCCCGGACACCCCCCCUCUCCCGAUGCGGCCACCGGUCGCGACAUUUUCAGUGCCCCGAGCAGCGCCUGGGUCGCGGCUCCCCAUCCCGACCGGGUGGAUUUGGCGCUGCCUGCUCCCGCCCCGGCUGAUAUUCCCGGCUCUCUCCGAUAAGGGCCGGACAGGAAUGUUUCUCUUUGUAGUUUGAGAACAAACAAUAUGUUAAAGGGGGGCGGAAAAAAAAAAAAGCGCAAAACUCCCCAAAUCCCACCCCCACGCCGCAUUCUUCCCUCUCCUCCCCGGCAGCUGCUCCGUGCUCCCGCGGGAAACCUGAGCCGCUCCAUCGCCUGACUCAGGGCUCUGGGAUGAGCCGAAAACUCCCCUCAGCUCCCGGUGCAAGCCGGGGACAAAAGUUCACGCCGGAGUUCAGGCGGCCUCCGGGCCGCGGAGCUGGCGGAGCUGCCGUUCCGGAGCUGCUUUCCCGGGAUGGGAAGUGCCCGGCGGCUGCUUGGACACGGUUUUUGGGGAGAAACACGGCUGCCGGGAAGGAGGCCGUGRGCCGUGCGGUGGCAGUGACACCCCGUGACACCCCACGGACCAUGGGCUGGUGGGGAUGGGGACGGGGGUGAGGGCAGGAAUGGGGAUAGGGAAAGGGAUGGGGUGGGGAUGGGGAUGGGAACAGGGAUGGGGAUGGGGACAGGGACGAGGACAGGAAUAGAAAUGGGAUGGGGAUGGGAACAGGGAUGGGGAUAGGGUGGGAAUGGAGAUAGGGAUAGAAAUAGGGACAGGGAUGGGAAUGGGAAUGGGGACAGGGACAGGGCAGGGAGAGAAACAGGGAUGGGGCUGGAGACAGGGAUGGGGCUGGGGUGGGAAUGGAGAUAGGGAUCAAAAAAGGGAUGGGAUAGGGAUUGAGAUGGGGAUAGGGACAGGGAUAGAACUAGGGAUGGGAGCAGGGACAGGGAUGGGGAUGCACUGGGAAUGGUGACGGGGAUAGGGACAGGCAUAGAAAUAGGGAUGGGGAUGGGGUUGGGAAUGGAAAUAGGGAUAGAAACAGGGACGGGGAUGGGAAUGGGGACGGGGACAGGGAUGAGGACGGGGAUGUCGGGGCGCCGGGUGCUUUCCGGGCAAACGAGAGCGGCGAUGCAGCGGGAAGGGGCGUAAACAGCCCGUCUGGGACGUGCACCGAGUUGGGCCGGCACGAAGGGGAG